UUGCAAGGAGAACUCACCUGGCCACCGCUGUGAAGGACAGCUCCACAUUGAGUCCCGUCUUGGCCGAGGUCUCCAUGAAGGGCACGUUGUGCUCCCGCCCCAAACGCUCCCCAUCCUCCCGCUUCACCUGCCGCUCGCUGCCGCUGCAGUCGGCCUUGUUGCCUGCGGAUUGAAGCGAAAAGUUGAUUCGAUUCGAAGCUCGCGCGAAUGUUGUCAUAGGUGGUCUUGUUGGUCACGUCGUACAGCAGCAGUAGAGCUUCGGUUGAAAAAUGCAAUUAGGUUCAGUAGCAAAGGUAGGAUAAAGUGCAUCCGAAACAAGGAUAGUUAUUCGAUAAAAAAUAAAGUAAUUGAAAUUUAAAAUAUACAUUCAAACUUCAAUAAAUAUGUGGUGUAUUAGAUA
Drosophila melanogaster (fruit fly) is the source of this 400-nucleotide non-coding RNA. Lineage: Eukaryota; Metazoa; Arthropoda; Insecta; Diptera; Drosophilidae. The record is from Ensembl.